AUUUUAAAAAAUCAAUAAACUUUGGUUUGUUAUAAUUUCAUUAAUUUUAAUUAUGUGGUAAUAUAACAUCAUAAGAUAGUCAUCUGAGUUGUUCGUAAGUUUGCUUUUUAAUUUGGGCCUAACACUCUUUGAUCAAGGGAGCCCAAUGGGUUUUCUUGCAGCGUACACGCCUUAUAUGAAGGACGUACAAAACAAGAAACAGGGCACCCACCUGUAUAUAACAGGCCGAAUGAUCAAGCUAUUAUAACUACGGCAAUACGGACUCUAUCGAUACGCAAGACUUUGUCUUGCGUAUUUUUAUGCUUUUCUUUAAGUUUUUAAUAAAGAAUUAG
RNAcentral lists this small RNA (332 nucleotides) under Staphylococcus aureus KLT6. RNAcentral describes it as "6S/SsrS". The stretch from base 78 to 268 matches the Rfam family "6S / SsrS RNA". From Rfam's summary of the family: E. coli 6S RNA was the first non coding RNA to be sequenced, but its function was unknown until recently. It consists of 184 nucleotides that fold into an extended hairpin structure with a large single-stranded internal bulge. The record is from RNAcentral. Lineage: Bacteria; Bacillati; Bacillota; Bacilli; Caryophanales; Staphylococcaceae.